RNAcentral lists this ribosomal RNA (496 nucleotides) under uncultured bacterium. RNAcentral's name for it is "partial 16S ribosomal RNA". It matches the Rfam family "Bacterial small subunit ribosomal RNA", at positions 28 to 507 of the family's 1533-position model. The record is from RNAcentral.
GAUGAACGCUGGCGGCGUGCCUAAUACAUGCAAGUCGAGCGAACAGACGAGGAGCUUGCUCCUCUGACGUUAGCGGCGGACGGGUGAGUAACACGUGGAUAACCUACCUAUAAGACUGGGAUAACUUCGGGAAACCGGAGCUAAUACCGGAUAAUAUAUUGAACCGCAUGGUUCAAUAGUGAAAGACGGUUUUGCUGUCACUUAUAGAUGGAUCCGCGCCGCAUUAGCUAGUUGGUAAGGUAACGGCUUACCAAGGCAACGAUGCGUAGCCGACCUGAGAGGGUGAUCGGCCACACUGGAACUGAGACACGGUCCAGACUCCUACGGGAGGCAGCAGUAGGGAAUCUUCCGCAGUGGGCGAAAGCCUGACGGAGCAACGCCGCGUGAGUGAUGAAGGUCUUCGGAUCGUAAAACUCUGUUAUAGGGAAGAACAAAUGUGUAAGUAACUAUGCACGUCUUGACGGUACCUAAUCAGAAAGCCACGGCUAACUACGUG